UAGGGAAUCUUCGGCAAUGGACGAAAGUCUGACCGAGCAACGCCGCGUGAGUGAAGAAGGUUUUCGGAUCGUAAAACUCUGUUGUUAGAGAAGAACAAGGACGUUAGUAACUGAACGUCCCCUGACGGUAUCUAACCAGAAAGCCACGGCUAACUACGUGCCAGCAGCCGCGGUAAUACGUAGGUGGCAAGCGUUGUCCGGAUUUAUUGGGCGUAAAGCGAGCGCAGGCGGUUUCUUAAGUCUGAUGUGAAAGCCCCCGGCUCAACCGGGGAGGGUCAUUGGAAACUGGGCGACUUGAGUGCAGAAGAGGAGAGUGGAAUUCCAUGUGUAGCGGUGCAAUGCGUAGAUAUAUGGAGGAACCCCAGUGGCGAAGGCGGCUCUCUGGUCUGUAACUGACGCUGAGGCUCGAAAGCGUGGGGAGCAAACAGG
This 429-nucleotide ribosomal RNA is filed under the name Gemmatimonadota bacterium. RNAcentral describes it as "Gemmatimonadetes bacterium partial 16S ribosomal RNA". It matches the Rfam family "Bacterial small subunit ribosomal RNA", at positions 355 to 776 of the family's 1533-position model. Lineage: Bacteria; Pseudomonadati; Gemmatimonadota. The record is from RNAcentral.